UGUGUAGUUAGGGUUUCAAAGUGUGUGUGUGUGUCUAUACAUUUGUGUAUUUAUAUUCAUGUGCAGUGAGGUGAGUUCACCUCUUUCUGUGUGUAGGUUCAUUCAGAAGGUGAGGUUGAAACUGGCAUAAUGAGAAUAAAGGAACGACAACUGAUUUGGCAGAGUUUUAAAAUCACCUUUAAUAAAUCUGGAUUUAGCAGGCCACGGAACGCGUGUGUGUAUCUUCAGCGUGGAGAAUAGCUCAGUUGUUUGGCAGUGUUUUCAGGGUCAGCGCUGGCCUUGCCUCGGGCCAUGUCAGCCGACGCUAUCGGACUCAAAGAGGAGCCUCUCCUCACACGAAUGAUAAUUAGGAUACACAGUGCCAGUUCACAGAAAUGAACCAUCUGUGUUCGAUCCUUCCAAGCCCCUUAUAGUCUGCUGCCCGCUGCUCAUGUCUGAUGUGCUGCUAUCUUCGUCCAUGUGGCAAAAUAACACUUUUAAUAGCCAGUAGAGCCCUAAUCAUGCAGCUCUGCAUUGUAAUCUGUGUAGGGCUGUAGAUGAGCUGCACUGAACAGGGUCAUUUACGAGUUAUUUCAGUUAGUUCAAGGAUUGUGGGUGUAGUGUCAGUCUAGUAUCUGUAUUAACCAAGUCUGUUUUCCUCACGUUCCUUAAUUACUCUCAAAUCCCCUCAUCAGACAAACAAGUUCUGGCUAAGCCGUUGCAAAUAUGUGCUCACGCUUGAGCGUGUAUGGCACUAGUAUUUUACAAAUACCUACAUGUCUAAAAGAAGUAAUACAACGUCUGUGUCUGAGCUGGAUCUCCUCUUUUCUGUCAGCACUCUGCAAUGAGCAAAAGCUGAAUUAAUAAUGAUUUGUCUAGAGAGGUAACAGCAGCCACAUGUCAAUCACAGGGUUUGCACAGGGGGUGCUGGAGUCAAUCCCAGCUUACAGGGUACACCCUGCAGCCAAUCGCAAGGCCGACACAGAGACAAACAACCAUUCACACCUACGGGCAAUUUAGAGCCACCAAUCAACCUGCUCCCCAGAGUAUUGUCAGAACCGCUCAGGGAGAAAGGACUCAGACGCAGAGCAGGUUGAUAGUUUAUUUCAUGCAAGGUACGAAACAAAAUCCCAAAACUAAGGACGCUCCAAAAGGAGGGAAACAGAGUUACUAUCAAAACUAACGGAGGCCCGACACGGGAACAAAAAAAGAGCUCUAAAGAAAAAUCACUCACAUGAGGUAAAAUGGUAAUCACGAGACAAGGCAAACUAUGGCUAUGGACACUGCUGGUAUGACGACGUAGGUUGACACACUGGCACAAGACAAAGGGAGAUGCAGGCUAUAAGAACACAGGGGGAGGAAAAGGGAACAGGUGGACACAAUCAGGAAUCAGGGGGGACAAGGAACCUGAAAUGAGAGGAGAGUUAAACUUCAAAAUAAAACAGGAAGUCAGGAAAACCGACGUGGAGACAGGACAAAGACACAACUAGACAUACAGGUGUGACAAGUAUGUCUUUGCAGACUGCACACAGAAAGGCCACCGGUUGGAGUUGAACCCAGGAGCUGAUUGCUAUGAGGCGACAGUGCUAAACACACCAGCGAGCCACCCAAAUAGCAUGCUGUAAUAGGAUUGGAGACUCAGACCAUAAACUCAUUUUUACAAAGUUAACAAAUCAAGUGUCAGGGGGAGUCAAAGGACAGGAAACAGGAAGGACUCUGUAACGCAUCACAGGAGACAGGAGUCGACCCAAGCGUAGAGCACAGAUUUAAUGAAGAACAGGUAUACAGGGGUUAGGCUUAGUCGUAUCCAAAAGACAGGGCGGGAGGCCGAUAUCCAGGAGCAAGGAGAAGGGCAAAGGUACAGUCAGGGAUCAGGCAGGAGGCAACGAGGUCCGGAACCAAAAGGGGUCUUCAAAGAGAGUACAAAACAGGAUAUCCGAAUAACGCUCAGAAUGUGAUAACAAUUACAUUACAUUACAUUACAUGUCAUUUAGCGGACGCUUUUAUCCAAAGCGACGUACAAUAAGUGCAUUCAACCAUAGGGUACAAACUCAGGAGAACAAGAAAGUGCAAUUUCCUCAAAUAAGCCAAUUUACAAUUUGCUAU
Molecule: long non-coding RNA, 2085 nt
Organism: Gasterosteus aculeatus aculeatus (three-spined stickleback)
Lineage: Eukaryota; Metazoa; Chordata; Actinopteri; Perciformes; Gasterosteidae
Source: Ensembl